Molecule: ribosomal RNA, 326 nt
Filed under: Gomphoid fungal sp. PleCA
Lineage: Eukaryota; Fungi; Basidiomycota; Agaricomycetes; Gomphales; Gomphaceae
Also listed under: 1 other name
Description: LSU rRNA
Rfam family: Bacterial large subunit ribosomal RNA
Source: RNAcentral
GUGGUGGCACAAAAUCGGAGGCCCCGACUGUUUACUUAAAACAUAAGAAUCUGCAAUGAUUAAUAUCGUGGUAUAGGUUCUGAAAUUUGCCCAAUGCCAUUAAUAUAAGUGCGGUAAUGAGAGUUACUAAUCGAAUGUCUGGUUAAUAGCGGUCUUAACUAUGAGGAUCCAAAGGUAGCAAAAUCAGUUGGCCAUUAAAUGUGGUCUUGUAUCAAUAAUGUAACGAUGGCCUCACUGUCUCUACAAGUCGCUCAGUGAAAUUGAAUUGUGAGUGCAGAUGCUCACUACCUCCGGGGGGACGGGAAGACCCUAUGCAGCUUCUACUG